RNAcentral lists this ribosomal RNA (524 nucleotides) under Pseudomonas sp. 12607. RNAcentral's name for it is "bacterial SSU rRNA". It matches the Rfam family "Bacterial small subunit ribosomal RNA", at positions 1 to 522 of the family's 1533-position model. Lineage: Bacteria; Pseudomonadati; Pseudomonadota; Gammaproteobacteria; Pseudomonadales; Pseudomonadaceae. The record is from RNAcentral.
UGGAGAGUUUGAUCCUGGCUCAGAUUGAACGCUGGCGGCAGGCCUAACACAUGCAAGUCGAGCGGCAGCACGGGUACUUGUACCUGGUGGCGAGCGGCGGACGGGUGAGUAAUGCCUAGGAAUCUGCCUGGUAGUGGGGGAUAACGCUCGGAAACGGACGCUAAUACCGCAUACGUCCUACGGGAGAAAGCAGGGGACCUUCGGGCCUUGCGCUAUCAGAUGAGCCUAGGUCGGAUUAGCUAGUUGGUGAGGUAAUGGCUCACCAAGGCGACGAUCCGUAACUGGUCUGAGAGGAUGAUCAGUCACACUGGAACUGAGACACGGUCCAGACUCCUACGGGAGGCAGCAGUGGGGAAUAUUGGACAAUGGGCGAAAGCCUGAUCCAGCCAUGCCGCGUGUGUGAAGAAGGUCUUCGGAUUGUAAAGCACUUUAAGUUGGGAGGAAGGGCAGUUACCUAAUACGUAWCUGUUUUGACGUUACCGACAGAAUAAGCACCGGCUAACUCUGUGCCAGCAGCCGCGGUA